This 550-nucleotide ribosomal RNA is filed under the name uncultured stramenopile. RNAcentral's name for it is "SSU rRNA". It matches the Rfam family "Eukaryotic small subunit ribosomal RNA", at positions 595 to 1148 of the family's 1831-position model. The record is from RNAcentral.
UAGCGUAUAUUAAAGUUGUUGCAGUUAAAAAGCUCGUAGUUGGAUUUCUGGUCUGAGCGUCCGGUCCGCCGCUGUGCGGUGUGUACUUGGUUCGACUCGGACCUUCCUUGUAGGGAAUGUUUCUGGCAUUAAUUUGUCGGGGGCGGGAACUGCAUCGUUUACUGUGAAAAAAUUAGAGUGUUUAAAGCAGGCAUUUGCUGUGAAUACAUUAGCAUGGAAUAAUAAGAUAGGACUUUGGUUCUAUUUUGUUGGUUGGAGGCCAAGGUAAUGAUUAAUAGGGAUAGUUGGGGGUAUUCAUAUUUAAUUGUCAGAGGUGAAAUUCUUGGAUUUAUGAAAGAUGAACUUAUGCGAAAGCAUUUACCAAGGAUGUUUUCAUUAAUCAAGAACGAAAGUUAGGGGAUCGAAGAGGAUUAGAUACCCUCGUAGUCUUAACCAUAAACUAUGCCGACUUGGGAUUGGAGGGUGUAUAUUUAUGACCCCUUCAGCACCAUAUGAGAAAUCAAAGUCUUUGGGUUCCGGGGGGAGUAUGGUCGCAAGGCUGAAACUUAAA